Molecule: long non-coding RNA, 584 nt
Filed under: Sparus aurata (gilthead seabream)
Lineage: Eukaryota; Metazoa; Chordata; Actinopteri; Spariformes; Sparidae
Description: lncRNA (ENSSAUG00010001726.1)
Source: RNAcentral
UGGUACGAGAGGAGCAAAACAUGCCGUCUCCGUUUGACCGCUCUCUUCAUCCGACUCAAAGGUUUUUUUUGUUUUGUUUUUUUCUUCUCCUUUUUAUUUAAUUCAUGUGAGGUUUGUCUGCUCACAUCUGUACAGCGGCGAGUAGAGGACAUCACAGAGACGCGGAUGCCAUCACUUGACUCACCAGACUAUUAAUACCCGGGCAAAGAAACAUCACAAGCUCCUCACAAGACUGUGGGGCUGACAUCUGAGCAGAGCGUUUCCCUAAAAACAUGAAGUCUGAGUUGGAGAUAUCCCUAGAUAAUGAAGUGUUGGAUUCGCUCAGCAUGGAAACUCCCCAAACUCCCGCAGCCUGCCAAGGAGAAACUGAAGUGUCUUUAAGUAAUCUGGACAAGGCUGUGCUGAAUAUUUGCUGCGAGGGCUGGCAUCAGCAGCAGGAGUCCCCAGCGACCGGUGAUAGGAUAGCCAAGAGACUGACCCGAGAGACUGACCCGAGAGGACCCAAGAGACUCUAGGUGAGAGACUGAGCGUGUAGCAUCUAGCACUGUUAUUAGUAUGGGGGGGCGCUCAUGUUAAAUAAUAAA